AUUGAACGCUGGCGGCAUGCUUUACACAUGCAAGUCGAACGGUAACAGGUCUUCGGAUGCUGACGAGUGGCGAACGGGUGAGUAAUACAUCGGAACGUGCCUAGUAGUGGGGGAUAACUACUCGAAAGAGUAGCUAAUACCGCAUGAGAUCUACGGAUGAAAGCAGGGGACCUUCGGGCCUUGUGCUACUAGAGCGGCUGAUGGCAGAUUAGGUAGUUGGUGGGGUAAAGGCUUACCAAGCCUGCGAUCUGUAGCUGGUCUGAGAGGACGACCAGCCACACUGGGACGGAGACCCGGCCCAGACUCCUACGGGAGGAAGAAGUGGGGAAUUUUGGAAAAUGGGCGAAAGCCUGAUCCAGCAAUGCCGCGUGCAGGAUGAAGGCCCUCGGGUUGUAAACUGCUUUUGUACGGAACGAAAAGCCUGGGGCUAAUAUCCCCGGGUCAUGACGGUACCGUAAGAAUAAGCACCGGCUAACUACGUGCCAGCCGCCGCCGUAA
RNAcentral lists this ribosomal RNA (498 nucleotides) under uncultured bacterium. RNAcentral's name for it is "partial 16S ribosomal RNA". It matches the Rfam family "Bacterial small subunit ribosomal RNA", at positions 30 to 523 of the family's 1533-position model. The record is from RNAcentral.